UACGUAGGGGGCAAGCGUUGUCCGGAUUUAUUGGGCGUAAAGCGCGUGUAGGCGGCUGGGUAGGUCCGCUGUGAAAACUUGAGGCUCAACCUCAAGAGGUCGGUGGAAACCAUCCAGCUAGAGUCCGGAAGAGGAGAAUGGAAUUCCUGGUGUAGCGGUGAAAUGCGCAGAUAUCAGGAAGAACACCCGUGGCGAAGGCGGCUCUCUGGGACGGUACUGACGCUGAGACGCGAAAGCGUGGGGAGCGAACAGG
This 253-nucleotide ribosomal RNA is filed under the name uncultured bacterium. RNAcentral describes it as "partial 16S ribosomal RNA". It matches the Rfam family "Bacterial small subunit ribosomal RNA", at positions 524 to 776 of the family's 1533-position model. The record is from RNAcentral.